GCUUCCAUGGUGGGAACGGUGAACACACUCAGCUGCUGACAGAAAGGCUGGAGGUUCACGUCCCCCUAGAGGCA
RNAcentral lists this transfer RNA (74 nucleotides) under Loxodonta africana (African savanna elephant). It matches the Rfam family "tRNA". From Rfam's summary of the family: Transfer RNA (tRNA) molecules are approximately 80 nucleotides in length. Their secondary structure includes four short double-helical elements and three loops (D, anti-codon, and T loops). Further hydrogen bonds mediate the characteristic L-shaped molecular structure. tRNAs have two regions of fundamental functional importance: the anti-codon, which is responsible for specific mRNA codon recognition, and the 3' end, to which the tRNAs corresponding amino acid is attached (by aminoacyl-tRNA synthetases). tRNAs cope with the degeneracy of the genetic code in two manners: having more than one tRNA (with a specific anti-codon) for a particular amino acid; and 'wobble' base-pairing, i.e. permitting non-standard base-pairing at the 3rd anti-codon position. The record is from Rfam by way of RNAcentral. Lineage: Eukaryota; Metazoa; Chordata; Mammalia; Proboscidea; Elephantidae.